AAAUUAACUUCAUUUAAUAAACAUUUUUUAUGUUAAAGGCUUUCACAGCCGGUCUGACAUCUUGUUAGCGUCUUCAUGGGACCUCCAAAGUGCCCCAGCGUGUUUUCACUUGAUUCUUUAUAUCACCACAUUUGUUUUAUCUUAUCACGAGUCAAACCACUCAAACAGUAUAAUUUUUUUAUUAAAUUGUUUAAAAAAUGUUUAUUAAAUUAAGUCAAUUUAGCACAUCAUUAAUUGAAAGUAAAUAUAGAACAGGCAUUAAAUAACUCCAAAGACAAACCGUUUGCCCAUAAACAGCAAUAGAAGUGCUGCAAGCAGCUGGCGAAGGUUCCACAAGCUUUUAUGGGAAAUAAUAUCAAUAAAACAUGAUUAUUUCGAAGUAGUUACAGACUAACAGGCAUCCAUAACAAAUGGUUUGCCCAAAACCAGCGACAGGCGUGCGGCAGCUUAGUGGCAGACACACCAGUGAAGGUGCCAGUAGUAGCUGCUGCUGCUACAUGCUGAGCCUGCUGUCUCUGCAGCUCA
Long non-coding RNA from Fundulus heteroclitus (mummichog), 525 nucleotides. RefSeq lists it as uncharacterized. The transcript has 3 exons. Lineage: Eukaryota; Metazoa; Chordata; Actinopteri; Cyprinodontiformes; Fundulidae. The record is from RefSeq and is a predicted model, not a curated record.